GGCACGAGGGGGCAAGGUCCCCGCACUUCGAGGGCAAUACGCGGGGCCACGCGGCCUGUACCCGGGGGCUGCCAUCCGCUUCGGGUGCCCCUCCUGAGCGGGAUCCCCUGGCUGCCGCGUGGCCUGACCGCCCAAUCCGGGCCCAGAACCCUAGAAGGCGCAUCGGUCACUUCCGGUAAAGACCGGAAGUCCGCGAACGGCACCCGCCUCGCGCUACGACGCACUUCCGGCCUGAGGGGCCGCUGUCCUCACGGCUUCCAGUAGGGGGCGCUAGGGCCUCGGUAACAAGGCGAAGGCCGUUAGCCCUCGCGCGUUCUGAGAGUUCGCAGUCCCCACCUCUAACCCCUCUAAUCAAUUCCGGGUCCUUUUCGCGAACCAGUGACGCCAUUUCCGGGGAUGGGAAGGCUAGGAAGAGAGCGCAAGAGUAAUGAUUACAUGUCCCGACAGGCCUCGGGAGUAGCGGCCCAGUGCCUGGUGGGAGAUGUAGUUCAUCGGGCACAGCAGCUGCGGCGCUCGGCCGGCGAAGGACUCGGUUUCCCAGAGGGCCGAGCACGACGCAAGAUGGAGACGGCCGGGCCGCGGUAACCCGCAGCCUCAGUGGAGCAGGUGGAGCAGCUGAGCAGAGCCGCGCAGGGGACUUCGUGCUGACACAGCCUCCUCUGCCCACAGGGCUCGGGCAUCGGCACUCGGCACCCGGCACCCAGGCAGGUGUGCGGCCCAGGACGCAUGGCGGAGGUGGGGGCCGGCGAGCCCU
Molecule: long non-coding RNA, 754 nt
Organism: Myotis davidii
Lineage: Eukaryota; Metazoa; Chordata; Mammalia; Chiroptera; Vespertilionidae
Exons: 3
Source: RefSeq, a predicted model, not a curated record